Molecule: ribosomal RNA, 253 nt
Filed under: uncultured bacterium
Lineage: Bacteria
Description: partial 16S ribosomal RNA
Rfam family: Bacterial small subunit ribosomal RNA
Source: RNAcentral
UACAGAGGGGGCAAGCGUUGUUCGGAAUUACUGGGCGUAAAGGGCGCGUAGGCGGCCUGCUAAGUCGAACGUGAAAUCCCUGGGCUCAACCCAGGAACUGCGUCCGAUACUGGUUCGCUUGAAUCCGGGAGAGGGAUGUGGAAUUCCAGGUGUAGCGGUGAAAUGCGUAGAUAUCUGGAGGAACACCGGUGGCGAAGGCGACAUCCUGGACCGGUAUUGACGCUGAGGCGCGAAAGCCAGGGGAGCAAACGGG